RNAcentral lists this ribosomal RNA (253 nucleotides) under uncultured bacterium. RNAcentral's name for it is "partial 16S ribosomal RNA". It matches the Rfam family "Bacterial small subunit ribosomal RNA", at positions 524 to 776 of the family's 1533-position model. The record is from RNAcentral.
UACGGAGGGUGCAAGCGUUAUCCGGAUUUACUGGGUUUAAAGGGUGCGUAGGUGGAUAAGAAAGUCAGUGGUGAAAUCUUCGGGCUUAACCCGGAAACUGCCGUUGAUACUAUUUAUCUUGAAUACUUUGGAGGUAAGCGGAAUAUGUCAUGUAGCGGUGAAAUGCUUAGAUAUGACAUAGAACACCAAUUGCGAAGGCAGCUUACUACACAGUAAUUGACACUGAGGCACGAAAGCGUGGGGAUCAAACAGG